GGAAGGGGUGUAUUUAUUAGAUUAAAAACCAAUGCCCUUCGGGGCUCUCUGGUGAUUCAUAAUAACUUCUCGAAUCGCACGGCCUUGCGCCGGCGAUGGUUCAUUCAAAUUUCUGCCCUAUCAACUUUCGACGGCUGGGUCUUGGCCAGCCGUGGUGACAACGGGUAACGGAGGGUUAGGGCUCGACCCCGGAGAAGGAGCCUGAGAAACGGCUACUACAUCCAAGGAAGGCAGCAGGCGCGCAAAUUACCCAAUCCCGACACGGGGAGGUAGUGACAAUAAAUACUGAUACAGGGCUCUUUCGGGUCUUGUAAUUGGAAUGAGUACAAUUUAAAUCCCUUAACGAGGAACAAUUGGAGGGCAAGUCUGGUGCCAGCAGCCGCGGUAAUUCCAGCUCCAAUAGCGUAUAUUAAAGUUGUUGCCGUUAAAAGGCUCGUAGUUGAACCUUGGACCUGGCUGAUCUGUCCUCCUAAUCGAGCGCACGGAUUCGGUCGGGUCUUUCCUUCUGGGGAGCCCUAUGCCCUUCACUGGGUGUAGUGGGGAACCAGGACUUUUAC
This 557-nucleotide ribosomal RNA is filed under the name uncultured fungus. RNAcentral describes it as "SSU rRNA". It matches the Rfam family "Eukaryotic small subunit ribosomal RNA", at positions 194 to 755 of the family's 1831-position model. Lineage: Eukaryota; Fungi. The record is from RNAcentral.